Molecule: long non-coding RNA, 1057 nt
Organism: Oncorhynchus tshawytscha (Chinook salmon)
Lineage: Eukaryota; Metazoa; Chordata; Actinopteri; Salmoniformes; Salmonidae
Source: Ensembl
GGAAAGCAUUGCAAUAGAUGUAUGCUGUGUAAAAGUCCUCUCCUUAAGUCCAGUGGGAGCGGGAAGAGUUGGGACGGGCAACAUGAAGCUCUGUACAAUGACAAACAGAUUAAUUCAUCACCAUUAAUACUGUUGUUUUUUUGACAAUUGAAACCCACAUAGUGGUUUUCUUCCCAUGAUUUCUGUUUGAAUCAAUAGAUGUGAUUGUGAUUUUGAAAUCAGAAAGCUGGCUUGGUUGGCUUGGUCAAACAUGUUGCUGAUACUUCUGCAGUGGGUUUACGCAGUACCUCGCUGACAAUGUUUACAAUGGUUCGUGAGUUAGUUUUGUGAUUUAAAAAGGAUGUGUAUCUACUGAAAGUCUGUGUGUUUACAAAAGCUGUUGUGCGGUGGGGAACUUUGGCCCAAUCAGAUCGCUCACCCUCUGCGUCCCAAAUGGCACCCUAUUCCCUAUGUAGUGCACUACUUUUGACUGGGCUCUGGCCCAAAGUUGUGCACUAGAUAGGGAGCCAUUUGGGACUUAGACAGUGUCUAUCACUUCACCAUGAAAUAGACUGAGGCACUGGAAUGUUUAUUUUACCAGGUCGUCCCAUUCAAGGUCCAACACCUCUUUUUCAAGGGAAACCUUGAUCAUAUGUUUGGUUUAUAAUGCGCAAUGCUUUUCUACCUGAUCAUCGUCAUCAUCACUUAGUAAUAGUACAACAUUCUGCACAACUGUGAUGUAAAUAUAAGCUUCAUCUGUGAAGUAGUGAAAUAUAUUUCAAGAUCAAUCAGGACGAUGUACAAAUGUAAUGUUUGUGGUGAAGCUGUACAGAAAUUGAAUGUAUCCAUAUCAGUCUUUUAGUUGCUCGAAAACGUAAGGGAUGUACAAUUUGACUUUUGAGGUGAAAUAUUUUUCAUACUACUGUGCUUGUAAAUGCAGGUAAAUAUCAGAUUCUCAAUUGUGUCUCAAUGGGCUCUGCCUGGUCUGCGACAUGCUCUGUGUUUUUGUUGUAAAUAGGAGCCAUAUCAUGUCAGUGAAGUGCCAAUGUACUGUAAGUAAAGUCUAAUUUCUCCUGUA